Molecule: non-coding RNA, 93 nt
Organism: Penicillium camemberti
Lineage: Eukaryota; Fungi; Ascomycota; Eurotiomycetes; Eurotiales; Aspergillaceae
Source: Rfam
UUUUGUGAUGAACAAACAAUAUUUAAAGCAUAGUUCACCUGAGAUCUUCGGAUUGCUGAACGAAAACAUAUUCCAUCUUUCAUUUUUCUGAUC